This is a non-coding RNA of Ictidomys tridecemlineatus (thirteen-lined ground squirrel), 656 nucleotides long. Lineage: Eukaryota; Metazoa; Chordata; Mammalia; Rodentia; Sciuridae. The record is from RefSeq and is a predicted model, not a curated record.
GAAAUGGAACAUACCUGCCCAGCUCUCAUGCCAAGAAGAUCAUCUUACAUGGUUAAAGAGGGACAAUGGAACAUGUGAAUGAGCAGAGGAGAGAUGUAUGGCCUGCCUGUGCCCUGUGGUCUGCCACUCCAUGAGCAGGUAGUAUCUACAACACCCCACAAGCACAGAAUUCUGGCAGACCCAUGAAGUAUGGGAGUUCAUGAGACUCGAGGUGGUGAGUAAAAGGAACUGUCUGAUCUUACUCCACCAACACUGUCCCACCCCCUCCUUGAGGUUCAACAUCCCCCCACGAUUAAAGCUUUGCCUGUGUGUUUGAAUGUCUCCACCCAGUUUUCAUUUUUAUUGUCACUGGGCCAGAAGUUCUCACCUGUGGCAUCAAAUAUGCACAUAUCAAGAGCCUUCCAACACAGUGCCUGUUGCACCUGAGGGUAGUAGCCUGAAAAAGAAGACAGGAAGACCCUGGCAGAGUACCUCCUGAGGCAUAAAGAUGUCACUCUGGCUUCUACAAGAAAAAUUCGUGCAGCAACUUUACCUUGGUCUCCAUGGAAACGGGGCUUGACUCACAUUCCCUCUGCCUAAAAUGAUCUGCUCCCAGAAAGUUGAUGUGGCAUGGUGGGUAAGCACACGAGCCGGAGUCAACUCGCCUAGCUACAAAC